This 301-nucleotide ribosomal RNA is filed under the name uncultured bacterium. RNAcentral describes it as "partial 16S ribosomal RNA". It matches the Rfam family "Bacterial small subunit ribosomal RNA", at positions 509 to 807 of the family's 1533-position model. The record is from RNAcentral.
CAGUAGCCACGGUAAUACGAAGGGGGCUAGUGUUGUUCGGGAUUACUGGGCGUAAAGCGCACGUAGGCGGAUAUUUAAGUCAGGGGUGAAAUCCCAGAGCUCAACUCUGGAACUGCCUUUGAUACUGGGUAUCUUGAGUAUGGAAGAGGUGAGUGGAAUUCCGAGUGUAGAGGUGAAAUUCGUAGAUAUUCGGAGGAACACCAGUGGCGAAGGCGGCUCACUGGUCCAUUACUGACGCUGAGGUGCGAAAGCGUGGGGAGCAAACAGGAUUAGAUACCCCUGUAGUCCCUGUCUCUUAUAC